This 745-nucleotide ribosomal RNA is filed under the name uncultured marine eukaryote. RNAcentral describes it as "SSU rRNA". It matches the Rfam family "Eukaryotic small subunit ribosomal RNA", at positions 608 to 1358 of the family's 1831-position model. The record is from RNAcentral.
AGUUGUUGCGGUUAAAAAGCUCGUAGUUGGAUUUCUGUUUGAGACGGCCGGUCCGCACUUAGUGCGUGUAUCUGGUUUGGCUCGGGCAUCCUCGUGGGGAUCGUUUCUGUGCUUCAUUGCAUGGGGCGGAAUUCACGACUUUUACUUUGAGGAAAUUAGAGUGUUCACGGCAAGCAAUCGCUUUGAAUACAUUAGCAUGGAAUAAUAAUAUAGGGCUUGCGUUCUAUUUUGUUGGUUUCUAGAACAUAAGCAAUGAUUAAUAGGGACAAUUGGGGGCAUUCGUAUUAACGCGUCAGAGGUGGAAUUCUUAGAUUGCGUUACGACGAACUACUGCGAAAGCAUUUGCCAAGGAUGUUUUCAUUGAUCAAGAACGAAAGUAUGGGGAUCGAAGACGAUUAGAUACCGUCGUAGUCUAUACCAUAAACUAUGCCAAUUAGAGAUCGGAGGUCGUUCAUUUUUGACACCUUCGGCACCUUAUGAGAAAUCAAAAUUUUUGGGUUCCGGGGGGAGUAUGGUCGCAAGGCUGAAACUUAAAGGAAUUGACGGAAGGGCACCACCAGGAGUGGAGCCUGCGGCUUAAUUUGACUCAACACGGGAAAACUUACCAGGUCCAGACAUAGUAAGGAUUGAUAGAUUGAUAGCUCUUUCUUGAUUCUAUGGGUGGUGGUGCAUGGCCGUUCUUUAUUGGUGGAGUGAUUUGUCUGGGUAAUUCCGUUUACGAACGAGAUCUUAACCUGCUAAAUAG